This 520-nucleotide unclassified non-coding RNA is filed under the name uncultured Paraglomus. RNAcentral describes it as "SSU rRNA". It matches the Rfam family "Eukaryotic small subunit ribosomal RNA", at positions 569 to 1095 of the family's 1831-position model. Lineage: Eukaryota; Fungi; Glomeromycota; Glomeromycetes; Paraglomerales; Paraglomeraceae. The record is from RNAcentral.
AGCAGCCGCGGUAAUUCCAGCUCCAAUAGCGUAUAUUAAAGUUGUUGUGGUUAAAAAGCUCGUAGUUGAACCUUGGGCCUGGCUGGCCGGUCCGCCUCACCGCGUGUACUGGUCCGGUCGGGCCUUUCCCUCUGUGGAACCCCAUGCCCUUCACUGGGUGUGGCGGGGAAACAGGACUUUUACUUUGAAAAAUUAGAGUGCUCCAGGCAGGCCUAUGCUCGAAUACAUUAGCAUGGAAUAAUAGAAUAGGACGUGUGGUUCUAUUUUGUUGGUUUCUAGGACCGCCGUAAUGAUUAAUAGGGACAGUCGGGGGCAUCAGUAUUCAAUUGUCAGAGGUGAAAUUCUUGGGUUUAUUGAAGACUAACUACUGCGAAAGCAUUUGCCAAGGAUGUUUUCAUUAAUCAGGAACGAAAGUUAGGGGAUCGAAGACGAUCAGAUACCGUCGUAGUCUUAACCAUAAACUAUGCCGACUAGGGAUCGGACGAUGUUAUUUUUUGUACUCGUUCGGCACCUUACGGGA